RNAcentral lists this long non-coding RNA (8168 nucleotides) under Capsicum annuum. Its description in RNAcentral is "long non-coding RNA (CANN_LNC020016)". Lineage: Eukaryota; Viridiplantae; Streptophyta; Magnoliopsida; Solanales; Solanaceae. The record is from RNAcentral.
GGAUGACUGGUGAAAAAGAUGUGCAGUUCAAAGUAUUAUAUUGUGGAAUUUGUCAAACUGAUCUUCAUUAGAUCAACAAUGAUUGGGGCAUCACCAAAUAUCCUAUUGUACCUGGGCAAGUUUACUCUUUAAUGCAUUCUUUAUUUUACUUUUUAUGUUCUUUAUUUGUGAUCGCCAAAAUUUUUUAUUGUGCAUAUAGGUAACAAAAACUUGUAAGAAGCGUUGAAUCGAUUUUACAUUAGAGAAUUUUCUAGUGUAACUUUCUGAAUUAUUAUAGAUGUAGCUGUAUUUCCGCUCAUUACAAAAUGAUAGAUUAUACCUAGAAUAUAUACACAAAGCUAGAUACAAAAAGGUCAAGAUCAGAUCCCUCAUAUCGUGCUUUUUACCUACAAUAUGUGACUAUGUGUACCUACAAUAUUUGACUGUGUAUCUAACACAAUCUAACAAUUGAUAUACUUUGACAAAUAUCUUGACAUUGGUAUCUGACUAUCUUAUCACUCCCCCUCAAGUUGGAGCUACAUGUCCUAUGCUCCGAACUUGCCACAAAUGUAUCUAAUCCGAGCUCCUCUAAGGGACUUAGUCAAAAUAUCUGCCAAUUGAUCAUUUGAACCGACGAAGCUAGUGGCCAUACAUCCGGAUUCAAUCUUCUACCUAAUAAAAUGACAGUCCACUUCUAUAUGUUUCGUUUUUUCAUGGAAAACUGAAUUUGAGGCAAUAUGUAGGGCGGCCUGAUUGUCAUAUAUAAACCUCAUCUGUUUGAAUUCAACACAUUUUAACUCUUGGAGAAGUUGUUUCAACCAAUUAAGCUAGCAUGUAACAAGGGCCAUAGCUCGAUAUUCAUCUUCCACAUUAGAUCUGGCAACAACAUCUUGCUUCUUACUUUUUCGAGAAAUUAAAUUGCCUCCAAUCAUGACGCAAUACCCAAACGUAGAGCGUCUAUCUAUUGGAGAACCUGCCCAAUCCGCAUUAGAAUAUCCAACAAUGUUUCUGUGACCUUUGUCUUAAUAUAUCAAUCCUUCUCCUGGAGCUCUUUUGACAUAUCGGAGGAUGCGAAUUACUGCAUUCCAAUGAUCUUGACAUGGAGCUUGGAGAAACUGACUAACCACACUUACUGCAAAUGAAAUAUCCGGGCGUGUGAUAGUGAGAUAAUUCAGUUUACCGACCAAUCUUUUAUAUCUACCGGGAUCUUUCAGUGGCCUCCCUUGUCCAGGGACGAGUUUAAUGUUUGGAUCCAUAGAAGUGUCAAUCGAUUUGCAAUUUAACAUGCAUGUCUUUUUUAAUAUGUCUAAAGCAUAUUUUCUUUGUGAGAUAGCAAUACUUGUCUUGGAUUGUGCUACCUCAAUUCCCAAAAUAUACUUUAACUUCCCCAAAUCUUUGGUUUGAAUGUGACUGAACAAAUGUUGUCAACAUAAACGACCAAAUAUGACAAUGUCGUCAACAUAAACGACCAGAUAAAUGUUCUUUUCUGGACCAUUAUGUCAAUAGAACACAAAGUGGUCUGCUUUACUUUGAGACAUGCCAAAUUGUUGGACGACAAAACUAAAUCUGCCAAACCAUGCCCUUGGAGAUUGCUUGAGGCCAUAUAGAGAACGUUUGAGACUGCAAACGAAGUCUGACUCCCCCUGAGCAACAAAUCCAGGAGGUUGCUCCAUAUAAACUUCCUCAGCAAGUUCACCAUGCAAAAAUGCAUUCUUAAUAUCUAGUUGAUGAAGCGGCCAAUGAUGCAUUGCUGCCAAGGAGAUAAUCAAGCGAACAGAUGCAAUUUCCGAAACUGGAGAGAAUGUAUCACCAUAGUCAAGAUCAUAAAUCUGGGUCUACCCUUUGGCAACAAGGCGAGCUUUUAGUCGAUCAACUGUUCCAUCCAAACCCACUUUUACCAUAUAGAUCCAUCGACUUCCAACAGUAGAUUUUCCCUUCGUUAACUGGACCAACUCCCAAGUGUUAUUGGUCUGUAAAAUAUUCAUUUCUUCGAUCAUAGCAUCUCUCUACCCUGGAUGUUCUAGUGCUUCACUAAUAGUUUUUGGUACAGGUACAUUAAAUAUGGUAUACACAAAGGUAUAAUAUAAUAGGGACAACCGAUGAUAACUUAAACAGUUAUAUCUUUAUGGUUGUUGAUUUUGUGUAGUACGUAUACCUUUGCGUAUGGCAAUUGGUGGGGUCACUGCAUCUGAUGAAGGCAUGACGGGAGAAGGUGAUGACGGAGCAAGACAUGAGUCAUCGGGAGCGACCAAUGUAUCAGGACUAGGAGUAGUGCUAUAAUUAUCAUUGUUAAGAGGACGAGCAGGCCGAGUGUAUACUUGUAGAGGAAGAGCGUUUUGAGGGUUUUCUGAAAUAGGGACUUGUUGUAGAGGAAGUAUAGGUACUGACAAAACUUGAGGAAUUAAACUUCUGCUUAUAGUGCUUGGUAUAAAAUAGGGAGAUGUUUCAAAAAAUGUCACAUCUGCACUAAUAAAAUAUUUAUUUAUUUUUGGAUCAUAGCAUUUGUAACCUUUUUGGUGACAAGAGUAUUCUAGAAAGGCACACUUCAUUGAUUUUGGUUGGAGUUUGUCAUUUCUAGUACUUUGAUCAUGGACAAAGCAAACACAUCCAAACACUCUCAAAGGUAAAUGAUAAGGAUUUUGACCUGGAAAAAGAAUUGAGUGAGGACUUUGUUGUUGCAACACAGUGGAGGGCAUUCUAUUGAUCAAAUAACAAGCAGCGAGAACAACAUUUCCCCAAAAACAAAGAGGAACGUGAUGGUGUAUAAGUAAAGUACGAGCAGUUUCGAUGAGAUGCUUAUUUUUACAUUCGGUGACUCCAUUUUGUUGAGGAGUAUAUACACAAGAUGUCUGAUGAGUGAUUCCUGAGACAACAUGAAACUAGAAAAGGGAGAAGAUAAGUACUCUUUGGCAUUAUCACUGCGUAAUACCUUUAGAAACACCAAAUUGAUUAUUUAUCUCAGCACAAAAUUUUUGAAAAAUAAAGAAUACUUCAGAAUGAUUUUUCAUCAAAUAUACCCAUGUGCAACGGGAGAAGUCAUUAAUAAAGAUAACAAAAUACUGAAUCCUAGACUUAAAACGACACGACUAGGACCCCAUAUAUCUGAGUGAACAAUGUCAAAUAUACAUGUGGGCCCUGUUAUUGACACUUUUGGAAAAUGAAGUAUGACUAUAUUUCCCAAGUUGACAUGACUCACAUUCAAAAGAAGACAAAGAGAAAAGACUAGGGAUUAACUUUUGAAGUUUUGCGAGACUCGGAUGACCAUAACGGCUGUGGAGAAAAUCAACUAAGGAAGCAGAAGUGAAGGCAACUGGUGGUGGAGAUUUUGACAUGUGAUAUAGUCCCUGUUACUCAUAUCCUAUUUCAAUCGUCUUCCCCGUUCUCUAGUCCUGUACAACAACAGAGUUCGCCAAAAAAGUGACACCAUAAUUUAGGUGCUUGAUUAAUUUGCUUAUAGAUAUCAAAUUAAAUGGACAUUCAGGAGCAAAUAAAGAUGAGUUUAAGGAAAUAGAAGGAAGAAGUUGCACGUCCCCUAUUCCUUUUACUGCAGUUCAUGAUCCAUUAGCAAGGGUAACUGCGGAGAGGGUUGUGGAAUGAAUAAGAUUUGAGAAAAGAUUUUGAUUACCAGAGAUAUGGUCAGAUGCACUAGAAUCCACUAUCCAUGGGCAAGUGGGUGAAGACCUGGUUAGACAAGCAAAGGAAUUACCAAUUUGUGGGGUGCUAGCUAAAGGUGAUUGUUGCGUAGCCGCUUGAUACUGCAAGUAAUCAUUAUAAUCUGCUCCAGAAAAAGUAAUAGAAUUAGACAGUUGACCCUCUAUAUCUUUACGGAUCUGAGCCACAUGAGCUGUACUACAAUUGUUAAUACGUUGUGGUCGACCAUGCAAUUUCCAACAAGUCUGUCGAGUAUGGCCUAGCUUGUUGCAAUAGUUGCAAUAGGGUCUAGAGUUUCUAAUGUUUCUCCUUUGCUGGACAUUUUGUUCCUGUGAGUUCUCAUUUUUCACAGCUAAUACAGAUGUCUCAACGUUAUUGGUAUCAUUUGUUUUUGAACUAAUACACAACAAUGGAGCUGAAACGUCGAUUACGGAAGGAACUGAUGAACUUGCCAAGAUUUGAUCCCUUAUAGGACUCAAAUCAGAUCGAAGUCCUUUUAGUGCUAGAACCAUCAAGAACUUAUCUCUUUGUUGCUCCUGAUGAGAGAGUCAAAUUAAUCUUUCAAGGUAUUGAUUUGUCCUAAAUAACUCGCCAUAUCUUCAUUAUUCUGCUGAAGUUGGACCAAGUCUGAGACAACCUUGUAUAUGCGUUGUAUGUCAUUCAUAUACAAAGUCUUAGCUUUAGUCCAAACUUUAUAGCAAUUUUUACAAGAUUGAAAUAGAUUAAGUUAGGAUCCAAAGAAUUUCAUACGAGAUUGCAUAAUUGAGAAUCAAUUUGAGUCCACUUAGUCCUUUCACUAGUAACAAUAUCACUAGUAUUUUUAAAUGAUCCUCAUAUCCUUAUCCCAUAAACCAUAUCUCGACAGAUGAAGACCAUGGUGUGUAAUUAUUACUACCUUCCAAUUUUAUGGUAGUUAUAAUAGGAGAACUUGAAAUAGAGGAAAACAUGGAUUUGAAAUUUCCUGAAGAUUCAGUUUUCUAUGAGACACUAGUUAGAGAUUCACCUUUCUCUGACAUUAUGGCUUCAACAACUAACUGAAAUUCUAAAAAAAUGAGUUACAAAAAAAAGAAUUUUUUUUUGGUUAAUAGAACUUGAAACAAAGGAAAUAAAAGAACAAGGUUCCUCUUGGUGACUAAAGAUCUUGUAGAACUAUUUCUAUCUUAAAUGAACAAGAGCUACGCCAGAAAAAGGAAGAAACAGUCGAUGAAGAUGACUCGUUUUACUGAAAAUUAUAUGAGUGAUGGGUAAGAUUAGAAUAAACGAUUGGACCUCAUAAACUCAGAAUGACAGUUUGACAUGGUCAGGAAAACCUACAGGAAGUGCUGCUAGUAAAGGAAGAAGCUGGAAUAGUUAUGGAAAAUCUAUCAAAACAGUCACCGAAAAAGGCAACUUGAGCCUCUACAAAGACAACAGGAAUCUCUGAUACCAUAUUACAGAUGUAGCUGUAUUUCAGCUCAUUACAAAAUGAUAGAUUAUACCUAGAAUAUAUACACAAAGCUAGGUACAAAAAGGUCAAUAUCAGAUCCCUAAUAUCCUGCUCUUUACCUACAAUAUGUGACUAUGUGUACCUACAAUAUUUGACUAUGUGUAUCUAUAACACAAUCUAACAAUUGAUAUACUUUGACAAAUAUCUUGACAUUGGUAUCUGACUAUCGUAACAUGAAUAAAUCCAAUAAAAUGCUUCAAUAUUUUUAAGGGAUCCAUGCAAUUUAAAUUUGGACCAUAUUGUAAAUAUUUAAACCUCAAAAAUAAUUAUGUAAAUACUAGAGUGGACCCGUUCAUAUUACAAAUGGGCAGGACAGUUCGAUGCACUAAGCUCCCACUAUGCAUGGGGUCAGUGAAGGAUCGGACUACAAAAAUCUAUUGAAUGCAACCUUAUCCUACAUUUCUGCAAGAGUAUGUUUCCACUUUUCACAGCUUGAACCGGUUACCUCUUUUGUCAUUCAUAUUACAAAUGUAUGGAGGAAUUGAUUAACAAGAAACUUAUGUGUUGGAGGUCAAUAUAGUUUUGAAUUUAUGAAGUCAAUAUAGUUUUGAAUUUAUGAAAUCAAAAUUAUGUCAAUCUCAAUUGUUUUUGCAAGCAUGAAAUUGUUGGUGUGGUAACUGAGGUUGGUAACAAGGUAGACAAGUUUAAAGUCGGAGAAAAAGUAGGUGUUGGAUACUGAUGUUGCAUUUUUUAAUAUUAUCAUAAUCCUAAGUGUUGCACUACUCCUUUAUCAUAAUUAUAGUGGUGUACUCAACAAUAUUAUCAUAAUCCUAAGUGUUGCACUACUCCUUUAUCAUAAUUAUAAUGGUGCACUAAACAAUUCUUAAUGCCAUGCACUCCUAGAAUUGGUUUUCUUUUAUAUAUAUAUUCAUCAUUAAGCCAUUAUAUAUACAUCCUAACAAUUGUUUUAUUGGUCUGAGAAAACAAAGAGAAAUCUAACAAUCUACGUUGUAUUAUUCAUAUUAAAGAGAGUUUGCUAGUUGAAGGGAGGUGUUCUUUUAGUGGAGCUUUGAAUUCAAUUCUUGUCUAGAGUUGUAGAGUUAUUGUGAGAAGACUGUUGUAUCCUGGAGGGGACAAGUCAAAAGGAUAACUGCUGGACCGGUGAAACACUUGCUGCAGUGGGCUUGAAUCUCCUUAAAGAGAGCAAGAUAUCCGUGCCUCAGCCAAAGAAGAAGAAGAUAAUUUUUUCUUAUUUUCUUCACUUGUAAUUUUCAGUUGUAUUAUUAUUGUAAUUUCACCAACAAUUUUAAGAAAAUUCAAAUGACAACAACUGAAAAAUCCAUGGAUGUCAAGAUAGGAGAUCUUAACAAGUCAUUCUGGUUCAACGAGACUCACUUCAAGAGGUGGAAGGGUAAAGUGUUUUUCUAUUUGAGUUUUCUUGAUGUCUCUUACAUUUUAACUGCGAAGAAUCCAAGCAAAGUAGAUAACUCUUCUAUGAGUGAUGAAGAACUCAUUUCUCUUGAAGAGAAAGUGAAAAAAUACAACAAUGACUCCUGUAAGUAUCGGUAUUUUUUACUUAAUAGUCUGUCUGAUAUUUUUAUGAUUAUUAUGAUAAAACUUACUCUAGUGAAAAAAAAAAUUUAAAAAGCAUUGUAGAGUAAGUAUGACACUGAGGAGGCGGGAGCGAAAAAAUAUGCGGCUAGCAGAUUUUUCAGUUUCCAAAUAGUGGACGACAAAUUAACGGUAGACCAAGUUCAAGACAUUAUAAUGAUCGUUGGCGAACUUAGGUCCGAAGAAGUCAAAAAUGGAGAUAACCUUAUUGUUUGUGGCAUAAUUGAUAAACUUCCACCUUUGUGGAAAGAAUUUCAAGAAACUAUGCGCCACAAGCAAAAGGAAACUUCUCUUGAGACUUUGAUAAUGAGAAUCCGCAUGGAAGAAGAAGCAAGGGGCCAAGAUGUACUUAUGCAAAUAGAAGAGAACAACAUCACACCGAAGGUAAAUUUAACUUCAAGUAAUGCUACCCCUGAACCUAACAAAAAUACUAUUUUGAAGCCUAAGAAGAAAAAAUUCAAGAAAAAUAAUGGUAGACAUCUCAAAAAUAAUAAUGGUGGAAACAACCAAACAAACAAAUCAACAUUUACAAGAAAAAGGACCAUGCUUUGUCUAUGGCAAGAGUGAGAAUAUUGCUCGAUUUUGCAGGUAUUAGAAACGUGGGCCUACACCUCAGGAAAAUGUUACCGAAGAACCAUUUGUGGCAGUGAUAACAGACAUAAACAUGAUGGUGAAUGUUGAUGGAUGGUGGGCUGACUCUGGUGCAAACCGUCAUGUCUGUUAUGACAAAGACUGGUUUAAAAAAUAUACAAAAUUUGAGGAGCCCAAAACCAUCAUGGUUGGAGAUUCACACACAAUUCAAGUACUUGGAAUGGGAGAUGUCGAAUUGAGAUUUACUUCUGGAAGGGUAUUAAUCUUAAAAGAUGUACUUUAUAUUCCUUCUAUGAGAAAAAUUUUGAUGUCUAGUUUUCUUCAUAAUAAAGCAGGUUUCAAACAGAUUAUUGAAUCUAGCCAAUAUGUAAUUGUUAAAAAUAAUAUUUUUGUGGGAAAAGGGUAUGCAUAUGAUGGUAUUUCAAGUUGAGUGUUGAAAUGAAUAAAACAUCUACUUUUGUUUACAUGCUUUCUUCUACUAAUUUUUGGCGUACUCGUUUGUGUCAUAUAAAUGAUCGUUAUAUGGGAAUCAUGAGUAGUUUAGGAUUAAUUCCAAUGAUCAAAAAGAACUUUGAAAAAAUGUGAGGCUUGUAGUAAAGCCAAAAUCACAAGAAGGCCUCAUUUUCAAGUUUAAAGUAAAACUGAAUUAUUAGAAUUAAUUCAUACUGAUAUUUGUGAACUUGGUGUAAUUUUAACUCGUGGAGGAAAUAGAUAUUUUAUCACUUUUAUUGAUGAUUUUUGUAAGUUUACAUAUGCUUACUUAAUCAAAAAUAAAAGUGAUUCUUUUGAGAAUUUUAAAACUUUUCUCCAUGAAGUUGAAAAUCAGUUUAGUAGAAAAAUAAAAAGAAUAAAAAGUGAUAGAGGCCGUGAAUAUGAGUCACAUGAGUUCAAUUCUUUUGUUAGAUCAUUG